UACGAAGGGGGCUAGCGUUGUUCGGAAUUACUGGGCGUAAAGCGCGCGCAGGCGGCUAUCCAAGUCAGUGGUGAAAGCCCGGAGCUCAACUCCGGAACUGCCAUUGAAACUGUUUAGCUUGAGGAUGAGAGAGGUGAGUGGAAUUCCCAGUGUAGAGGUGAAAUUCGUAGAUAUUGGGAAGAACACCAGUGGCGAAGGCGGCUCACUGGACCGGUAUUGACGCUGAGGUGCGAAAGCGUGGGGAGCAAACAGG
This 253-nucleotide ribosomal RNA is filed under the name uncultured bacterium. RNAcentral describes it as "partial 16S ribosomal RNA". It matches the Rfam family "Bacterial small subunit ribosomal RNA", at positions 524 to 776 of the family's 1533-position model. The record is from RNAcentral.